RNAcentral lists this long non-coding RNA (267 nucleotides) under Lathyrus oleraceus (garden pea). Its description in RNAcentral is "Pisum sativum (pea) long non-coding RNA (PSAT_LNC031532)". Lineage: Eukaryota; Viridiplantae; Streptophyta; Magnoliopsida; Fabales; Fabaceae. The record is from RNAcentral.
UUGGCCUUUUUUCCUUCCUUUGGAAGAUGUCUUGCUUAUGAUAAGUGGGUUGAGUAUUCUCUAAAGAAUGAUUUAAAAAAAAGCAAAAGAAGUAUUACCUUCUAACUUAUUAACAACUAAUAUUUAAAUUCAAGUCAUUUACUUUAAUGCAUUUUAGUUUUUAAGCCUUAUUCAUUCGCCAUUAUUCAUACCAUUCUAGUUGUUUAUGUUAAUGUUAUUUUUACUUUGUCCACUUGGAACAUAUUUGUGUGAUAUAUUUUGUUUGUG